AGAGACCUCAAGCGUUAUCCGGAAUCAUUGGGCGUAAAGCGUGCCGAUAGGUGGUUUUAUUAGUCUUGGGUAAAAGCCAGAAGCUUAACUUCUGAGUUUGCUUAAGAUACUGUAAAACUAGAGGGGCAAAGAGGUGCUUGGAACGAAUGGUGUAGUAGUGAAAUGCGUUGAUAUCAUUCGGAACACCGAAAGCGAAGGCAGAGCACUGGGUGCCACCUGACACUGCUAGGACGAAAGCGUGGGGAGCGAAUGGGAUUAGAUACCCCAGUAGUCCACGCUGUAAACGAUGAAUACUAGGCAUGCGCGAGUAUCGACCCUCGUGCGAGCCGUAGCUAACGCGUUAAGUAUUCCGCCUGGGGAGUACGGUCGCAAGACUA
This 377-nucleotide ribosomal RNA is filed under the name uncultured bacterium. Its description in RNAcentral is "bacterial SSU rRNA". It matches the Rfam family "Bacterial small subunit ribosomal RNA", at positions 527 to 896 of the family's 1533-position model. The record is from RNAcentral.